RNAcentral lists this ribosomal RNA (200 nucleotides) under uncultured bacterium. RNAcentral's name for it is "partial 16S ribosomal RNA". It matches the Rfam family "Bacterial small subunit ribosomal RNA", at positions 30 to 230 of the family's 1533-position model. The record is from RNAcentral.
AUUGAACGCUGGCGGCAGGCCUAACACAUGCAAGUCGAGCGGUAUAGAGGUGCUUGCACCUCUUGAGAGCGGCGGACGGGUGAGUAAUGCCUAGGAAUCUGCCUGGUAGUGGGGGAUAACGCUCGGAAACGGACGCUAAUACCGCAUACGUCCUACGGGAGAAAGCAGGGGACCUUCGGGCCUUGCGCUAUCAGAUGAGC